GCGCCCGUAGCUCAGCUGGAUAGAGCGACGGACUUCGAAUCCGUAGGCCGCAGGUUCGAGUCCUGUCGGACGCA
RNAcentral lists this transfer RNA (74 nucleotides) under Treponema sp. RNAcentral's name for it is "tRNA-Arg". It matches the Rfam family "tRNA". Rfam says of the family: Transfer RNA (tRNA) molecules are approximately 80 nucleotides in length. Their secondary structure includes four short double-helical elements and three loops (D, anti-codon, and T loops). Further hydrogen bonds mediate the characteristic L-shaped molecular structure. tRNAs have two regions of fundamental functional importance: the anti-codon, which is responsible for specific mRNA codon recognition, and the 3' end, to which the tRNAs corresponding amino acid is attached (by aminoacyl-tRNA synthetases). tRNAs cope with the degeneracy of the genetic code in two manners: having more than one tRNA (with a specific anti-codon) for a particular amino acid; and 'wobble' base-pairing, i.e. permitting non-standard base-pairing at the 3rd anti-codon position. Lineage: Bacteria; Pseudomonadati; Spirochaetota; Spirochaetia; Treponematales; Treponemataceae. The record is from RNAcentral.